This 632-nucleotide long non-coding RNA is filed under the name Homo sapiens (human). RNAcentral describes it as "HSALNT0128486". Lineage: Eukaryota; Metazoa; Chordata; Mammalia; Primates; Hominidae. The record is from RNAcentral.
GCAGGAUCCCUGGGCAUAGUCGCUUGUUCUCCGCCCGCGGUGGACCAGCUGCGUAACGGUUCACACACUGAUGGCGCCUGGAGGUUUGGCGAAAUACUGACAGGAUGCGACGUCAACGGGAGCGCAGGGCCAAGAUACCCUUUAUAUCAAACCGUCUAUCCUGGAGCAGAAAAAUCCUGUCUUCAUUGCUAUAGCUACAGAUUCAGAAAUGAGCAUGUAACAAAUUCAGGCCAAAGAGAGGCAAUGGAAAUCAGAGAAACACUGUUCCUGAAAGCUUCUGUCACUCAAGAAUCCAUGAAACAUUCAUGAACUUCACAUCAGAAGCCAAGCCCAGAAAAUAUGGGUUUAAGGUUUGCCUAUAUGUCCAAUACAAGAGAAAAAAGAACAUUCCACUUCUUUAGAAGGUUCUACUUUGAUCUCCUGGAAGAUUUCUGUAUUUGUCUUCUUAACUCUUGAGUUUUGUUGUUGCUAAUAUUGGAUGAAGAGGAGACAAAAUGAUUGGAUCUAGAGGAGCACCGACAAGCAAAUGGCAGAUUCCUAGGCCCUCACCAGAGGCUGAGCAGAUGUUGGUGCCAUGCUUGUACAAGUCUACGGAACCAUGAGCUAAAAUAAACCUUUUUUCUUUAGAAAUU